RNAcentral lists this ribosomal RNA (289 nucleotides) under uncultured Chlamydiales bacterium. Its description in RNAcentral is "partial 16S ribosomal RNA". It matches the Rfam family "Bacterial small subunit ribosomal RNA", at positions 49 to 323 of the family's 1533-position model. The record is from RNAcentral. Lineage: Bacteria; Pseudomonadati; Chlamydiota; Chlamydiia; Chlamydiales.
AUGAGGCAUGCAAGUCGAACGGUUUCAAGUGCAAACUUGAGUCAGUGGCGGAAGGGUUAGUAAUGCACAGGUAACGUGCCAUAACCCUGGGGAUAACAUUCAGAAAUGAUUGCUAAUACCGAAUGUCGUCAUUUUCGGCAUCGAAAAUUGAUGAAAGCGGGGGACUCCGAGAGGAACCUUGCGGGAUAUGAGCGGCCUGUGUGGCAUCAGCUUGUUGGUAAGGUAAUGGCUUACCAAGGCUGAGACGCCUAGGCGGACUGGGAGGUCGAUCGCCAACACUGGGACUGAA